GUCGGGAAUAUUGCACAAUGGGCGAAAGCCUGAUGCAGCAACGCCGCGUGCGCGAUGAAGGCCUUCGGGUCGUAAAGCGCUUUUCGGGAGGAUGAGGAAGGACAGUACUCCCGGAAUAAGUCACGGCUAACUACGUGCCAGCAGCCGCGGUAAAACGUAGGUGGCGAGCGUUAUCCGGAUUUACUGGGCGUAAAGCGCGUUCAGGCGGCCUAGCAAGUCGGGCAUGAAAUCUCUCGGCUCAACCGGGAGAGGCUGUCCGAUACUGCUGGGCUUGAGGGCAGUAGAGGAUGGUGGAAUUCCGGGUGUAGUGGUGAAAUGCGUAGAUAUCCGGAGGAACACCGGUGGCGAAAGCGGCCAUCUGGGCUGCACCUGACGCUGAAACGCGAAAGCUAGGGGAGCGAACGGGAUUAGAAACCCUAGUAGUCC
This 426-nucleotide ribosomal RNA is filed under the name uncultured bacterium. RNAcentral's name for it is "bacterial SSU rRNA". It matches the Rfam family "Bacterial small subunit ribosomal RNA", at positions 354 to 796 of the family's 1533-position model. The record is from RNAcentral.